GCAUCAAACCAUGUCUGAAUGUUGUUCAAGUUAUUUGGUGAAAGAUUUGACCAACUGAUCAGGAUUAACUGAGUGCACGAGCGACUUCUCCGAAUUUGUAACCUUAUUAGUCAUAAUCAUUUCAAAGUGUCCGUGACAUGAAGCUGUUUGAAUUACUAUCAGGAAUCAGUGAAGGCGAGUUCAAUUUGGUAACAAUGGCUGAUGUUUGAUAUUGGUGAACUGCCGGAGGGGAUUAAUUCCCGGCAACAGCCUGAAGGUGCGAUUUGCGUUUUAAGAACUUUAAGGUCAUGGCUAGGACAAUGCACGUACAUAAGCCAAAACUAGAUAUUUUGUGACGUCAACGAAAAUUCCAAGAUGGCGCAUACUCUAAGAAACGCAUCACGUUUUCCUUUCUUAGCUCUUUUCUGCGCUUAGCGGUUUCCUUCUCCAGCGGCACUUACUUACGAAGAGACUGAAAAUAUGACGUCUGUGUAACUUUUACGCGCGAUUCAGAGGUGAUCCUUUUGAAAUUGUGUGUUACGGUUCCAGCGCGCAUAUCUUCGCGACAAGACCAUAUCUGUUGAAAAAUAAGCUCAAAUGGAACUAUUUUAAGAAGACAGGAUGGUUGAUCACAUUUUACCUUCCACAGUACUUUAUGUUACAUUCGGAUUAUGACAUGGAUGCGUGUGAACAAGAGUUUUAUAAUGUAAUAGAGAGCAUGCACUGUAAGCUACAUUUAAGAAUUGAUGUUUGAGUCUAUCAACUCAGUCAUGAAUUUUCAGUGAAUUAAAUAGUAAGGUUUGUUGA
Molecule: long non-coding RNA, 786 nt
Organism: Pocillopora damicornis (cauliflower coral)
Lineage: Eukaryota; Metazoa; Cnidaria; Anthozoa; Scleractinia; Pocilloporidae
Source: RefSeq, a predicted model, not a curated record